CACAGUCUAUAAUGCAGUAUUGUUCAAAAGUCCUAGCUGUAUUUAUGUGCCUAAGACUUUUGCACUGCAUUAAUAUCUGAAUUAGUAUUUAUCCAGUUAACAAAAUUUGCCUACCUUGAUAUUCAUUUUUUUUUAUUUGCGAUACAGCGUGGAAGACCCUUCUUGACGGUCUUGGGGGAGGGUCUCGGCCAGAAACAUCGACUGCACUCUUUAUCAUAGAUGCUCCCUGGCCUGCUGAGUUUCUCCAACAUUGUGUGUGUGUGUUGCCUACAUUUACACCAACUCAAUCUUAGCAUGUUACGGGAACUGAAAAAGCUUGUCUUCACAAGAUUUCCCUAAUUGGCUAAAUCGUGGAAUCUAGAGUAGACAGCGGCGACUUAAAAGCCUUGCGGUAGUUCAACGGGGGUCAGCUGACACAUACAAUCUGAUUUCCUUAAGGAACAUUGCACGUCCAGCACAAACAAGUCGGAUGCGCCUUCUUCCGAAGACACAAAAUUAACUAGUUUCAUUUCAAAGGCGUUUCGGCGGGGUGGGAAAAUAAUGAAAAUAGUGAGAGCACACCGUUUACAGUUUGCAGGACGAGGCGCCUGAAGGAUUAUACAACGCCGAUAUACAGCUGACCUGUCCGUGGAGUAAAGGAGAAUCCGACAGGUUUAAUCCUUAAGGUAAUAUACCAGAAGACCGAGAGCAGCUAAUUCUAUGGUGUUAUUAAAGAAAUACAGCAGAGGUACACCAUGACUCUAAGUUAAU
Molecule: long non-coding RNA, 750 nt
Organism: Mobula hypostoma (lesser devil ray)
Lineage: Eukaryota; Metazoa; Chordata; Chondrichthyes; Myliobatiformes; Myliobatidae
Exons: 3
Source: RefSeq, a predicted model, not a curated record